AGUCUUAACAGGGCGAUUAGUCGGAAGGAGUAGACGCGAAACCAAGUGAUCUACCCUUGGUCAGGUUGAAGGUUAGGUAACACUAACUGGAGGACCGAACCGAUAAGCGUUGAAAAGCUUCCGGAUGAACUGAGGGUGGGGGUGAAAGGCUAAUCAAACUUGGAGAUAGCUCGUACUCCCCGAAAUGCAUUUAGGUGCAGCCUUGGGAAUUACUACUGUGAGGUAGAGCGACUGAUAAGAUGCGAGGGCUUCACCGCCUAUCAAGUCUUGAUAAACUCCGAAUGCGCAGUAGUUCGAUCCCAGGAGUGAGGGCAUGGGUGCUAAGGUCCAUGUCCUAAAGGAGAAGAAUCCAGACCAUCAGCUAAGGUCCCGAAAUAAUUGCUAAGUUGAACUAACGAAGUCAGAUUGCUAAGACAGCUAGGAUGUUGGCUUGGAAGCAGCCAUUCAUUUAAAGAGUGCGUAACAGCUCACUAGUCGAGGAGUUUGGCGUGGAUAAUAAUCGGGCAUUAAGCAAUUUACCGAAGCUAUGGGAUGUUAACUAAACACUAACAUCGGUAGGGGAGCAUUCCACUCUGCGUCGAAGGUGAAGCGUGAGCUUUGCUGGAGCGUGUGGAAAAGCAAAUGUAGGUAUAAGUAACGAUAAAGGGGGUGAGAAACCCCCUCGCCGAAAGACUAAGGUUUCCUGAUCAACGCUAAUCGGAUCAGGGUUAGUCGGGUCCUAAGGCUCAGCCGAACGGUGAGGCCGAUGGCAGAACAGGUUAAUAUUCCUGUACUACCUUAAGGAGUGACGUGGAGACGGAGGAGUGACAACGCCGCGGACUGACGGAAUAGUCCGUUGAAGGGUGUAGAUGUUGAUUAUCCCAGGCAAAUCCGGGAUAAGAGUCGAACCUGAUAGUAUACCAAAUUCUUCGGAAUAAGGUAAUAGCGCGUGUAAGCAUACUCCCAAGAAAAUCCGCUAAACUUAAUCUUUAAGGUACCCGUACCGCAAACGGACACACGUAGUCGGGUUGAAUAUACUAAGGCGCUUGAGUGAUUCACGGUUAAGGAACUAGGCAAAUUGACCCUGUAACUUCGGGAUAAAGGGUCCCAACGAGAGUUGGGCGCAGAGAAUAGGUC
This 1116-nucleotide ribosomal RNA is filed under the name Akkermansia muciniphila. Its description in RNAcentral is "partial 23S ribosomal RNA". It matches the Rfam family "Bacterial large subunit ribosomal RNA", at positions 680 to 1792 of the family's 2925-position model. Lineage: Bacteria; Pseudomonadati; Verrucomicrobiota; Verrucomicrobiia; Verrucomicrobiales; Akkermansiaceae. The record is from RNAcentral.